GAUAAGGUGGCUGAAAAAAUAGGUGUUAGAUUGUAAAUUUAAGAAUAAGGUAAAUCCUUUCUUAUCA
This 67-nucleotide transfer RNA is filed under the name Tenuibranchiurus glypticus. Its description in RNAcentral is "tRNA-Tyr". It matches the Rfam family "tRNA". Rfam says of the family: Transfer RNA (tRNA) molecules are approximately 80 nucleotides in length. Their secondary structure includes four short double-helical elements and three loops (D, anti-codon, and T loops). The record is from RNAcentral. Lineage: Eukaryota; Metazoa; Arthropoda; Malacostraca; Decapoda; Parastacidae.